AAGUUAAAAAUAAAGAUGAAAUAUUCUUGUCAUCAACUAAUAGGGCCUAAGGUUUGUCCCAUGGAACGCUCUUUAAGGCCCAAAUACAAAAAAAAAAAAAAAAAAGCCCACAGAAACGGCCUAGGGUUGGUACUGUGGAGAGCGCUCUCGCUUAUAGUUUCUCAUCACCGCCACCAAUCAGCUUUUUCUCUCCUCUCGGUUUCCUUGGAGCUUGAUCUUUCCCUUGAAAUGGUUGCUUUCCGGUUUCACCAGUAUCAAGUGGUUGGGAGAGCCCUCCCUACAGAGAAAGAUGUGCAGCCAAAGAUCUACAGGAUGAAGCUAUGGGCUACAAAUGAAGUCCGAGCCAAGUCCAAGUUCUGGUACUUCCUGAGGAAGCUCAAGAAGGUUAAGAAGAGCAACGGACAAAUGCUUGCCAUCAAUGAGAUUUUCGAGAAGAGCCCCACGAAGAUCAAGAACUACGGUAUCUGGCUGCGUUACCAGAGCAGAACUGGGUACCACAACAUGUACAAGGAGUUCCGUGACACCACUCUCAACGGUGCAGUGGAGCAGAUGUACACUGAGAUGGCUUCUCGCCAUAGAGUGAGGUUCCCUUGCAUUCAGAUCAUCAAGACCGCUACAGUCCCUGCGGGUCUGUGCAAGAGAGAGAGCACCAAGCAGUUCCAUAACUCCAAGAUCAAGUUCCCUCUUGUUUUCAGGAAGGUCAGGCCACCGACCAGGAAGCUCAAGACUACGUACAAGGCCUCAAAGCCCAACCUUUUCAUGUAAAACCAAUCUUUGCAUGAUUGUCUUUGUCCUUUUUCAACCAGAUCAGACUAGGUUUCUUGUUCCUCAGUCUGAACAAAAACACCAUUUGGAGUAUGUCUCAUGAAAUUUGUACGUUUGCAUCUUUUGAACUUUUAUUAUCUAGGUAUGAUUAAAAUAUUAAGGUUUUUCAUCA
Brassica napus (rape) is the source of this 937-nucleotide RNA transcript. It is a transcript of the gene named 60S ribosomal protein L18a-2-like, with no coding region annotated. NCBI's taxonomy places the organism in Eukaryota, Viridiplantae, Streptophyta, Magnoliopsida, Brassicales, Brassicaceae. The record is from RefSeq and is a predicted model, not a curated record. The transcript is spliced from 4 exons.